Molecule: transfer RNA, 88 nt
Filed under: Codonopsis pilosula
Lineage: Eukaryota; Viridiplantae; Streptophyta; Magnoliopsida; Asterales; Campanulaceae
Also listed under: 1 other name
Description: tRNA-Ser
Rfam family: tRNA
About the family: Transfer RNA (tRNA) molecules are approximately 80 nucleotides in length.
Source: RNAcentral
GGAGAGAUGGCUGAGUGGUUGAUAGCCCUGGUCUUGAAAACCGGUAUAGUUUUGAGAACUAUCGAGGGUUCGAAUCCCUCUCUCUCCU